Molecule: long non-coding RNA, 202 nt
Filed under: Ananas comosus (pineapple)
Lineage: Eukaryota; Viridiplantae; Streptophyta; Magnoliopsida; Poales; Bromeliaceae
Description: long non-coding RNA (ACOM_LNC041297)
Source: RNAcentral
GUUGGUGAGAUUACGCUAAUGUAGAAGAAUAUAUAUUUUUAAGAGUAAUAUUUCAAUACACUAUAUAAAUCUUGACUAUUUAUUUUUCUUAAUAGAUGGUUUAGAUUUAAUAUGAUUUUAGAGGUGACCUGCUAUUGAAGCAUAGGUACCAUUCACCAGGUAUCUAUUUAAAGGGUAUUUUAGUCUUUGUAAAAUAGUUUGG